UAGGGAAUUGUUCGCAAUGGGCGCAAGCCUGACGACGCAACGCCGCGUGGAGGAUGAAGACCUUCGGGUCGUAAACUCCUUUCGACCGAGAUGAAUACGUGCCGACCUAAUACGUCGGCGCGCUGACAGUAUCGAGGGAAGCAGCCCCGGCUAACUCCGUGCCAGCAGCCGCGGUAAUACGGGGGGGGCAAGCGUUGUUCGGAAUUACUGGGCGUAAAGGGUUCGUAGGUGGCCAACUAAGUCAGACGUGAAAUCCCUCGGCUCAACCGGGGAACUGCGUCUGAUACUGGUUGGCUUGAGUGCAGGAGAGGAACGCGGAAUUCCAGGUGUAGCGGUGAAAUGCGUAGAUAUCUGGAGGAACACCGGUGGCGAAGGCGGCGUUCUGGACUGCAACUGACACUGAGGAACGAAAGCCAGGGGAGCAAACGGG
This 430-nucleotide ribosomal RNA is filed under the name uncultured bacterium. Its description in RNAcentral is "bacterial SSU rRNA". It matches the Rfam family "Bacterial small subunit ribosomal RNA", at positions 355 to 776 of the family's 1533-position model. The record is from RNAcentral.